This 564-nucleotide small RNA is filed under the name uncultured fungus. RNAcentral's name for it is "eukaryotic LSU rRNA". The stretch from base 220 to 373 matches the Rfam family "5.8S ribosomal RNA". The record is from RNAcentral. Lineage: Eukaryota; Fungi.
AUUUAGUGUAAGUAAAAGUCGUAACAAGGUUUCCGUAGGUGAACCUGCGGAAGGAUCAUUACAGAGUUCAUGCCCUCACGGGUAGAUCUCCCACCCUUGAAUACCUUACCUUUGUUGCUUUGGCGGGCCACGUUCGCGUGUCGGCUUCGGCUGGCUGUGCCCGCCAGAGGCCCCAAACUCUUUUUGUUUAGUGAUGUCUGAGUACUAUAUAAUAGUUAAAACUUUCAACAACGGAUCUCUUGGUUCUGGCAUCGAUGAAGAACGCAGCGAAAUGCGAUAAGUAAUGUGAAUUGCAGAAUUCAGUGAAUCAUCGAAUCUUUGAACGCACAUUGCGCCCCUUGGUAUUCCGAGGGGCAUGCCUGUUCGAGCGUCAUUAUGACCACUCAAGCCCGGCGUGGUGUUGGGGUCCGCGGUCCCGCGGCCCUUAAAAUCAGUGGCGGCGCCAUCUGGCUCUAAGCGUAGUAAUACUCCUCGCUAUAGGGUCCCGGUGGAUGCUUGCCAUCAACCCCCAAUCUCACGGUUGACCUCGGAUCAGGUAGGGAUACCCGCUGAACUUAAGCAUAU